This 443-nucleotide ribosomal RNA is filed under the name uncultured bacterium. Its description in RNAcentral is "partial 16S ribosomal RNA". It matches the Rfam family "Bacterial small subunit ribosomal RNA", at positions 338 to 795 of the family's 1533-position model. The record is from RNAcentral.
CCUACGGGAGGCUGCAGUGGGGAAUAUUGCGCAAUGGAGGAAACUCUGAUGCAGCAACGCCGCGUGAAUGAUGAAGGUCUUCGGCUCGUAAAGUUCUAUCCUAAGGGAAGAAGAAAGUGACGGUACCUUAGGAAUAAGCCUCGGCUAACUACGUGCCAGCAGCCGCGGUAAUACGUAGGAGGCGAGCGUUAUCCGGAAUGACUGGGCGUAAAGGGUGCGUAGGUGGCAUGGUAAGCUAGUAGCGAAACUCCUGGGCUUAACCUUGGAAUUACAACUGAAACUGUUGGACUUGAGUGCAGGAGGGGAAAGCGGAAUUCCUAGUGUAGCGGUGGAAUGCGUAGAUAUUAGGAGGAACACCAGUGGCGAAGGCGGGUUGCUAGACUGUAACUGACACUGAGGCACGAAAGCGUGGGGAGCGAACAGGAUUAGAUACCCGUGUAGUC